This 464-nucleotide ribosomal RNA is filed under the name uncultured bacterium. Its description in RNAcentral is "bacterial SSU rRNA". It matches the Rfam family "Bacterial small subunit ribosomal RNA", at positions 331 to 792 of the family's 1533-position model. The record is from RNAcentral.
CCAGACUCCUACGGGAGGCAGCAGUGAGGAAUAUUGGUCAAUGGGAGGAAUCCUGAACCAGCCAUGCCGCGUGCAGGACGACGGCUCUACGAGUUGUAAACUGCUUUUGUACCGGGGUAAAAUGCCUUACGAGUAGGGUUUUGAAAGUACGGUACGAAUAAGGAUCGGCUAACUCCGUGCCAGCAGCCGCGGUAAUACGGAGGAUCCGAGCGUUAUCCGGAUUCAUUGGGUUUAAAGGGUGCGUAGGUUGUUUUAUAAGUUAGCGGUGAAAUACCGAUGCUCAACAUCGGGGCUGCCGCUAAUACUGUAGGACUAGAGAUCGGAUGCAGCAGGCGGAAUGUGUAGUGUAGCGGUGAAAUGCAUAGAUAUUACACAGAACACCGAUUGCGAAGGCAGCUUGCUAGGCCGGAUCUGACACUGAUGCACGAAAGCGUGGGGAUCGAACAGGAUUAGAUACCCCAGUA